AGAGAUCAGACUAUACUUUAUUUUAUUUUGUGUCGCAAAAACAUUAAAAUUGAUAAUACAAGAUUUGAGACAGUACAAAGACAGGUAAUAUUAGUUGGAUGUUUCUUCGUUUUUUUUCUUUUAUUAUUUAAGGAUUCUUAUAACACAGUGUUUAGUUUAGUUUAGUGUAUAGCGAAUCAUGCAGAAAAUAUUGCAUGAGAUUUCGCAUAAACAAAAUAAAUUACCUUAUUAAUAUUAUACCGUAAAAUAAUCUUUACUAUACUGUUACGUGUAGAAAUC
Molecule: long non-coding RNA, 279 nt
Filed under: Capsella rubella
Lineage: Eukaryota; Viridiplantae; Streptophyta; Magnoliopsida; Brassicales; Brassicaceae
Description: long non-coding RNA (CRUB_LNC004807)
Source: RNAcentral